UACGUAGGGUGCAAGCGUUGUCCGGAAUUAUUGGGCGUAAAGAGCUUGUAGGCGGUUUGUCGCGUCUGCUGUGAAAAUCCGGGGCUCAACCCCGGACUUGCAGUGGGUACGGGCAGACUAGAGUGUGGUAGGGGGAGACUGGAAUUCCUGGUGUAGCGGUGGAAUGCGCAGAUAUCAGGAGGAACACCGAUGGCGAAGGCAGGUCUCUGGGCCACUACUGACGCUGAGAAGCGAAAGCAUGGGGAGCGAACAGG
This 254-nucleotide ribosomal RNA is filed under the name uncultured bacterium. Its description in RNAcentral is "partial 16S ribosomal RNA". It matches the Rfam family "Bacterial small subunit ribosomal RNA", at positions 524 to 776 of the family's 1533-position model. The record is from RNAcentral.